Molecule: long non-coding RNA, 280 nt
Filed under: Gossypium barbadense (sea-island cotton)
Lineage: Eukaryota; Viridiplantae; Streptophyta; Magnoliopsida; Malvales; Malvaceae
Description: long non-coding RNA (GBAR_LNC003930)
Source: RNAcentral
AUAGCUACCAAGAGACAAAAAUGUUAAGGAGAGCAUGGGGAGUUAGAAUAUCAAGUUGGAUUCAAGAAAUAGAAGCUGGAGGAGAGAGAAAAUCAAGUUAAAGAUUAGUAUCAAUAAAACAAGGUAAGUAUAUCAAGAUUUCAAUAUGUUUUUAAGUUUGUUAUUAUUGACAAAGCAUGGAAAUAAUGUUAUAGUAGAGUUUUAUUACAUAAGGUCCUAUGUUUUUGAUAUGUUAGUGAAGAGAAAAUAAGAGAAAGUGAUGAGAAAUGGUGUAGAAAAA